AUGAAAAGGCCGUGAAGGAGACAGCUAAGGAAUUGGAGAGUAUUGCUAGUGAAUGGUUGAAGGAGCAUAAGCAGAAGAGGGCCUCGGGUGGGGCCAAAGAUCAAGACUUCAUGGAUGUUUUGCUUUCUCUCCUCGAGGGUACAAACCUUGCAGCAGAAUUCGAUGUUGACACAAUUAACAAAGCCAACUGUUUGGUAUGCACUUUUCUUUCUUUCUUUUUUGUGUAAGAGCAUUCGGCCCCAAUACAUAGACCCAAAUUAAUUGCAACCUAUAAUCCUUUCCAUUCCCUACACAUACUCUCAAGAAAAAACGUUUGCUUUUUGCAGAGUAUGAUUACAGGAGGAAGUGACACCCCUAAGGUUACUCUAACAUGGAUACUCUCCUUAUUGUUGAACAAUCUUCAUUGGUUGAGAAAAGUUCAGGAAGAGCUAGACAUUCACGUGGGCAAAGAAAGACUAGUGAACGAAUCAGAUCUUAGCAAGUUAGAGUGCCUUCAAGCCGUAGUCAAAGGACAUUACGCCUACAUCCUCCAGUACUUCUCUUCCCACGGUUCUGCACUGAUGAAAUCAUCGUAAGUGGUUAUCAUGUCCCUCGAGACAGCUGGAUAUUCUUAAACCUUUGGAAGAUCCAAACUGAUCCACGGGUCUGGUCGGAUCCUUUAGAAUUCAUGCCAGAAAGAUUCCUGACAACCAAUAAAGAUUUCGAUGUUGGGGGUGAUCAAUACUUUGAGUUGAUCCCAUUUGGUUUUGGUAGAAGGGUUUGCCCUGGAAUGUCUUUUGGCCUUCAGAUGGUACACGUGACGUUGGCUAGCUUGUUGCAGGCGUUCGACAUCUCCACUCCUUCAAAUGCAAUGGUGGAUAUGACUGAAGGAGCUGGACUAUCGAACAUGAAAGCCACCGCACUCGACGUUCUUGUUAGACCUCGCCUUCCUUCUAAAAUUUAUGAAUAAUAAGUAAUUAAAUUGGCUCUGAGCAGUUCUACUUCUAACUAAUAUGCUUCAUAAAAGUUGUACACACAAAUUUCUACUUGAAAUUAUGAUACAAAUAUAAAUAUUUGAUGUGGGUGAUAAUUUUUUCAUUUCGUCUUUAAAAGUCACGAAUUCAGACUUAAUUUUGAUAUGAUCUUCACGAGUUGAAGUUAUGAAUUCAGAUUUAGUCUUGAUCUUCAUGAGUUGAACUAACUUUGGUGGUGUUUGAUCUUGAUGAAUUAUGAGACAAAUAUAAAUAUUUAAAGUGAGUGAUAUUUUUUGAAAAUAUAAAUUUUUGAUUAUGAACUCCAUCGCUUCAAGGAUUUGGGUGACUUGAUCUCGAUCACAUCUUGGUUACUUGAUUCGAACUUCAUUAUCGUUUGAUCUUUACUUCAGAAAUCUUCUACUCUCUUUUUUUUGAAAUGUUCUCAAUCUUCGAAUGUCUCUCAAUCUUCAAAUGCUUCUAAAUAAAUUAAAAUGGCAAAUGCUAAGUGAGAGACUUUGAUGAGAACGUAGUCUCUUCGAAUGCUUCCAAAUAAAUUAUAAUGAUUUAUUGAAAGUUUUUUGAUUGGCUGAACUUUGAGUUUUUGAAUUUUGAUUGGCCGAAGUAAGUUAUUAGCUCUAAAUUAUCUUAAUUUAGUUAGAGAUAAAUUAAAUAAUUAAAUUUGAUUUUAUCUCUAAAUUAACAUAAUUAUUAGAGAUAAAUUAAAUGAUCAAUAAUUAAAUUUUGAUUGGUCAAAAAAAUGAAUAUUAUCUCUAAAUUACUUUGAUUUAUUUAAAGACAAAUUGGAUAAUCAACAACUAAAUUUUGAUUGGUCUAAUUUAAAUAUUAUCUUAAGAGAUAAAUAUAUGACACAUAAGUAAAUUGAUUCAACUAUGUGUUUUUGAAAUAAUUCAACUAAUAAAUUAAUUAUUUUAUAAUUAAUUAUGUGAUUAUGACAUCAUCAAAUUCAUAUGGCAACACGUAAUUGGCACAUAAUUUUUUCUCCUUCUUUAUAAAAAUUGUUCUCUUCCCCUAAUUCGGAUGGUGGAGCAAUUUUUGAUGAAUUCUAAUAGUUUUUUCCCCCAAGUUUUCAUAACAUAAUGUGAAAUAAGUAAAUUAAAAAUGAUAUAAUAUUUUAAAAAAAUUUAAUUUUUUUAUUUUUUAUUAAAUUCAAUCAAUGUCAAUAUUAAUAAAAACAAAUACUCAAAAUAUUAUUUAUUAUUUUUAUUUCAUAUCAAUUAAUAUAACGUAUUAACAUAUUAUAAUAAAUCAUAAUAUUUUAAUUUAAAUAUUAAUGUGAAAAAUGGGACGCUCAUUAUAAUAUGUUAAACAUGUUAAUUAUAAUAUGGCAAACUAUAAGCAGUCAAAAGAGCCAAGGGCGGCCCAAUAAGCUUAAAGGUCUAAAGCGAUUAUCAUAUAUUUUUUAAAUGACUAAUAUAAAUCAUUAAUCAAAAAAUUUAAUUUAAAUAAAUAAAUUAUUACAUAAAAUAAAGAUAAUAUAAUAAUAUCAUAUAAAUUUUAAAUUAAAAUAAAAAAAUCAGUAAAUAUUAGAACAAUAGUACUUAAUUGUUGAAUAUUUAUUACAAAACAUAAAUAAAGCUUAUGGUUUUAUAAAGAUAAUAACAUAACAGACUUCUUAUUUAUUCUUUAAAGGAAAAUUGAUGUUAACAAGAAAAAGGAAGAAAAAGCAUAUGAGAAAAGAAUAAUUCCAAAGUAGAUAUUAUAUAUUGAAAAAAUAUUUGAUUUUAUAUAAAAGAAAAAAAAUAGUUGUUGAAAUUUAUUGAAUAUGUUAAUUGAAAAUAGGAGAAAUAAGUAAAAAAAAAAGUUGUUAGAAAUGAUUAAAUAUAUAUGACUGUUAGUUGAUUGGAAAUAAGAGAAGUAAUUGAGAAUUAAUAGCAUUCUAUAAAUUAAAAACUAAUAAAAAAUUAAAAUUUGUUAAGCACAUAAUUAGAAAAGUGAGAAAAUAGAUAAUUUUAUUAAUUAUUAAUUAUUUUUAUAUACUUUUAAAUUUUUAUAUAUUUUUAAUAUAAUUAAUUAUUUUAUAAAAUUAUAAAAUUUUCUCAAAUUUGGGACCUCUCUAAAUUGAGGGCCUAAAGCCCUUGCUUGGGUAGCUUUACCCAAGGACCGACCUUGAAAAGAGCUUAACAUCAUGAAGAAGAAAGACGAAGAAAAGAAAAAAGUAUUUAAGAGAUCGCUGAUUAAAGUAUGUUUAGAAUUAUAUUUUCAUAAUUUGAAUAUAAAAACUUUAAAUUAUUCGUAUUUCUUUAACUUUUAUUUAAACCUGAUACUCUUUCAAUAAUUUUAAUAAUUUUAAUAAUUUAAUUUUGAGUUACCGAAAUUUCAUAUUUUGAUAAUGUAUUUAAUCAUUUCUUUAAAAAUUUUUAUAGUAUAAAACGAGAUGUUUAAUUUGAUGCUAAUGGCUUGGUUAAGGACACCUCCAAGCCAUCGUAAAGGAAUCACUACGUUUGUAUCCUGCUGGACCACUCUCAGGUGCACGCGAAUUCACUGAAGACUGCACAAUAGGUGGUUACCAUGUGCCCAAAGGCACCCGGCUGAUAGUAAACCUUUGGAAAAUCCAAACAGCACCGCAAUUUUGGUGCGAUCCAUUAGAGUUCAAGCCUGAGAGAUUUAUGACCGGCCACUUGGACGUUGAUGUUAAGGGUCUGCAUUUUGAGCUCAUACCAUUUGGUGCUUGUAGAAGACUGUGCCCGGGGAUAAAUUUUGGCCCGCAAACGACACAUCUGGUGCUGGCCCUCUUGCUCCAUGCUUUCGACAUCUGGACUCCAUCAAAUGAGCCUGUGGACAUGACUGGCAGUCCAGGACUAACAAACAUCAAAGCCACCCCUCUUGAAGUUCUUGUCAAACCACGCUCGUCUCCUAAUCUCUAUCCGUAAUCAUCUUGAUGUGUGAUCCACAGCUACAGCUAUAGCUUUCAUUUCAUUUCAGUAUGAAAUGAGAUAUUUAAUUUGGCAUCAAUAGCUUGGUUAGAGAUUUUUUAUGUUAAGAGAAUUAAAGUCUCAAAAUAAGUUUAUUAAUAUUAAAAAUCUAAAAAUUUAUAUAUUUUUAUAAUGAUUUUUAAAUUUUUAACUUUUAAAAAUUGAAAAUUUUAUGUUUUUUUUAAUCGAAACAAAUUUUAACAUUGUAGUAUGAUAUGUAUACUUCAAUUUGGUCUUGUGAGUAAUAAGGAGGGAAGGAAUAUGGAGCAGGGACUAUUAAGAAAGGAGCAGUGUCAGAUUGGCUGCGGUGUCCCGCGACCCCAGGGUCGCAGAUCCACAUGCAACUCUUCCCUUGGCCCUAUAUUCAUUUUAAAAUUUUGCACUGUUUUUUUCCUCAUGCGCACUUAGUCCAAUAGAUUCAAAAUAGUGAUUUUUUGGGUUAAGAGUUAUAAGUGAUCGAAAUAAGUCAAAUGAUCAUAAAAAUUUAAAAUUUCAAAAUUUAUAAAAAUUUAUUUUUAAUUAUUUUAAAAAUUAUUCUUGACUUAUAUUCAACCUAUUUUGCUAGAAAUUUUAAAAAAUUAAGCAAUUUAAAUUUUAGUAAAUUUUUAUAUAAUAAAUAUUUAUUUGAUAAAUUAUUUUCAAAUUAGCAUAUUUUGAAAAACUUUAUUAAAAAUAUUCAAAUUAAAUUUUAAUUUGUAUUUAAAGCAGAUUCAUCCAACCUCAUAUUGUUAUUGAUUUUGUACUAUAAUCUAUGUGUUUCUAAAUUCUGAAUGUUUUAUAUAUUUAUAAAUUAUUAAAAAAAUUAAAUUGAUUUUCGAUCAGCGAAAGAGGUGGUACACUUUAAAUGUCUUAGAAUGACUAGUAGAGAGCCAUAAUUCCUUUUGAUAAGUUAGCAAUGUUGGUUUCUAAUUCUGAGGAUUUUGAAUUAAUAGGCAUCAAGAGAUUUUUGAUUCUUUAUCCUUUGGAUUCGGUUUAGCGAAUCAGGUAAGUGACUAAUAUCUCUUAAGUGUUUUCAUACCCUAAAAGUUAGCCUCAAUGUGAAUUUGUGCAUGAGAUAUGAUAUUUUAUCUUAUGAUUUAUUAAAAUUGAAUUGAGCAUGUAAAAUGUAUAUGUAUAUGAGUUUUAUAUGUUGGAUUUAGAAUGUGGUUUAUGCAAAGUGUGAUUUCUGAUUUUGAAAUUUGUAUAUGACUUUGUAUAAUGUAUGAAUAUAUGUUUUUCGUGAAUAUAACAUAAAUAUUUAGCUUGAAACAAAUAUACUUUUGAUGUGUAUGAGAUAUGCUUGACAAAAUUGAUAUACAGUUUUAUAAAAUUUGGGUAAUCUAAAAAUAUAUGUUUCUGUUUUGUCUCCUAAUAUGGCUAUGCUCUGACCCUGUUAAUGGAGGUUAAAUGUUGGCCAUGUUGACAUGUAUUUUGUGAUUAAAGAUCGAUCUCCCAAUCGCACCACCGGUUACAUAAUAGUGGUAUUUGUAAUAUCUGUUCAGUACAACCAAUAGUUGCUUUUGAUAUAUUUUUGACCGGUGCCACCGAGGUUAAUUGUGAUUUUAUUUCUGAUCUAUGCCACAGGGAUUAAAUGUGAUCGUAGCAUGUUACAAAAGGCUACUAAAAUUUAAAUAUCUGUAAACCAUGUUUGUUUUGUUAUCUGAAAGUAGAAAUAUUGAAAUAUAUGAUUUUGAAUGAGAUUAUCCAAAAUUUUAUUUUGAUACUUAUAUAUGUAUUAAUAAUUUUGCUCUAAAUGUUUUAAGUAUGCUUAAUCUGACUGAAAAGAUGUUAGUUACUAACUGAGUAGUUAUACUCAUUCUUAUAAUCCUUAUCAUUUUUACAGAUUUCAACACGUAUUCAUGCGUGGGGAUUAGAUUUGUUAGAUGAGAGCUUUUGUUAGCAAGAUUAGUACAUGUCUUUUGACAUUUAUAAGUUUUGAUGUAAGUUUUUGGUUUUUAGUUUGUAAAGAGAUGAUAACUAGUUGUGAAAUUUGUACCUUUUGGAAGAUUAUAUAUAUUGUAUUAUUUGAAGAUUUGAGGUUUAGUAAAGUCUAAAAAUUUAAAGAGAUUUUGGAGUAAUUGUAUUUAGUUUAGUAAGAUGUGGUUGCCUUACAUGCUUAUGAGAUUCAUCUCAUGAGUAUGUGGUGUCUGUUAGUUUCAAAAACUUUGGGUAUCGGGCGUGACAAAAAUACUAUGAAAAUUUGGAAAACGAUAUCUGGCGUGGAGGCAACAUAAUUUAUUGAUUAUCAAUAGUUUUAUGUAGCUCCUUAAUCUUUAACUAAUGAUCAUGAGAAUUCUAAAUCUGGUUUUUUUAUUAUUUAGUAGCUAAAUCUGGACCGCAUAAUUAAAUGAGUUAAAUAUAAACAUUUUUUAUAUGACAAAUUUGUUGGGCCGAGGCCAAGCAGAAAGAGAUAAACCUCAUCGGAAUCAACUAUAUUUGACCUGAAAGCCAAUACGCAAGAGACUAGAAAAUUUGCUUCCAUGGAUUUCCUUCUGGCUGACAGAAGCACCUGUGUAUUUGGUCUAGUAGCCAUUCUAUUCUUUUCUUACUAUCUGUUUCUUAGGUCAAGAAUUGCCAAGAGCAAAAAUUAUGCGCCCAUAGCUAGAGGGGCAAUGCCCAUAAUUGGCCACCUUCCAUUGUUGAGAGGACCAAAGCUUCCUCAUUUAACACUUGGAGACAUGGCUGAAAAAUAUGGUCCUAUCUAUGCCAUCCGGUUAGGGGUGCAUCCAGCUUUGGUGGUGAGUUCUUGGGAGAUUCUUAAGGAAAUAUUCACAAACCAUGAUGUGGCUGUCGCCUCCCGCCUCAAAGUGACGUCUGCAAAACACAUGGGCUACGACUAUGCCAUGUUUGGGUUCUCACCCUACGGUCCAUACUGGCGUGAAAUGCGCAAAAUAGUCAAUUUAGAGCUACUCUCAAACCAUAAACUCGAGCUACUCAAGCACGUUCGAGUCUCUGAAGUGGAGACAUCAUUGAAAGAGCUCUACAAACUGUGGGCUGAAAAAAAGGAUUCUUCAAACCAUGCUUUAGUUGAAAUGAAACAAUGGUUUGGAGACUUGGCAUUGAAUGUGAUCUUUAGGAUGGUUGCCGGGAAGAGGUAUUUUGGAACUGGUUUAAAGGGUCAUGACAAGGAGGCCAGGCGGUGUCAAAGGGCGCUGAGGGAAUGGUUUCAUUUGUUAGGGGUAUUUGUGUUAAAGGAUGCUGUUCCUUUACUUGGGUUUUUGGAUUUGGGUGGGCAAGAAAAGGCCAUGAAGGAGACUGCCAAAGAAAUGGAUAGUAUUGCUAGUGAAUGGUUAAAGGAACAUAAGCAGAAGAGAGCCUUGGGGGAGGUUAAAGAGAAAGACUUCAUGGAUGUUUUGCUUUCUCUCGUCGAAGCUGAAAGUACUAAUCCAAACCUCUCAGGUUGGAAUGUGGAUACUAUCACCAAAACAACCUGCUUGGUUUGUAUUCUAUCCUUAUCCCUAAAUUAGGUCUUCUUUUUGCUUUUUUCUCUAACUGGUAUUGUGCGGUUGACUGUUUGCAAAGAAAUACUUAUGAUGUUUAAUCAAUUGGGAUAAUUAUAUAGUAAUGGCAUGGGAGGUAGAGAAAGUGGUUUUAUUAAGAUGAAAUUACUUCUUUUUCAUUUAUUUUUGGUGAGUUAUGCCAUGAAAAUAGCUUCUUCUUCUUCUUGUCCUUUUUCUCUUUUCCUCUUCUUGUUUCAAUAUAACUUAGUAAAUAAGAAAAAGACUGCUCAGUAUCAACUUGUUACUACCAUUGAACCAUUUUAUCUGAAGAAGGCACUUGCACGUGCAGAGUUGCAUCAAGUUCCUGCCUAUGUCUUAUUUUUUCGGCUCAAUGAUCUCACCAGGCCUCUGGUCAUCACAUUGAGCAACGGUCCCGGUAGGAGGGCUUGAAAUUGAGGCCCUUGGAAACUUAACUUUGCAUGUACAGGCUCAGUAGCCCAAAAUAACUCUGGGUCUUCGCCUCUUUGGUGUGACAUAGAAUUGAUUGGUCUGAAAUGAUUUUGCUUUGCAGAAUUUGAUUGGAGGAGGCAGUGACACCACCAAGGUCACCUUAAUAUUGGCACUUUCACUAUUGUUAAACAACCGCCAUUGCUUGAAAAAGGUACAAGAAGAGCUAGACAUCCAUGUAGGCAAAGAAAGGCUAGUAAAUGAUUCAGAUCUUAGCAACUUGAUAUAUCUCCAAGCUGUAGUGAAGGAGACAUUACGCCUGUACCCUCCUGCCCUUCUUUUCCCACGCCUCUGCACUCAGGACAUCACCCUAAAUGGUUACCAUGUCUCUAAAGGCACUUGGAUUUUCUUGAAUCUUUGGAAGAUUCAAGCCGACCCCCGCGUCUGGUCUGAUCCAUACGAAUUCAAGCCAGAGAGAUUUUUAUCAAGCCAUAAGGAAGUUGAUGUGAGGGGACGGCACUUCGAAAUGAUCCCAUUUGGUUGUGGCAGAAGGGUGUGCCCUGGAAUUUCUUUUGGUCUCCAAGUGUUGAACUUGACAUUGGCUGGUUUAUUACAUGGAUUCGACAUCUCCACCCCAUCAAAUGCAAGGGUUGAUAUGACAGAGAGUCCUGGUCUGACGAGCAUCAAAGCCACCCCUCUUGAAGUUCUCAUCACCCCUCGUCUUUCUCCUAACAGUUAUGGAUGAUUCAGUCAUGCAAUAUAAACACAGAGAGAGAGAGAGAAAGAGACAGAGACAGAGAAGGAAUGCAUUUUUACUUGUGUUUCUUUUAUUAUAUCUAUGCAGCUGUCAUGCUUUGGACUUUGGAAGGAGGGUACAUCAUCAAAAGUUUUCAUUGCAAAACUGUUUCUAACAAUAAAGAGUCCAUCUUUCUAUCGAGAAAAUAUUGCUGCAUAUUAGUAAUAGAAAUUGAAUGACAAAAUUGCUAAAAUUAAUUUCCAAUUUAAAAGAACUUAAGGGUAACUAAAACACUAUAGUGGUUUAAUUAAAUUUCUUUAAUUGCUUUUAUAUUAUUAGCAUAUAGAACGAAAAUAGUUGGCACCAUAUUUGAUGUCAAUAUAUAUUUGUUUGAUUGAUUGAGAAAAAAAAUCCAUGUAUAAUAAUGCUUAAUUAGAUAAAAUUUAAAGAGAAUCAAAUGAAUAAUGAGGUUUUAACCUAAAAGGAUUGACAAUUUAAUCAUAUUAAUUAUAAGAUUUACAAAAGGGGGCCAAAUCGAAAAGUCUUGGGGGACCAAACUAGAACUUUAUCUUUUUCUUACAUAAGAAAAAUUACCAAAUAUAUUAUUAUGUAUGACUAUUAAUUUAUUUUUUAUAAUUGAGAAAGUAACAAAAAAUUAAGUAUUUGGGCAUAUAUUCCACACCAUACACUUAAAACAUUUCUGUGGCUGAAAUUAAGACUAUCAAUAAAUGAAUUGCGGUUCACAAUAUCUAUUUAAUACUAUUAAUUUAUGGGUUAUAAUUGAGAAAGGAAAAAAAGUAACUAGUUGGGCAAUAGUUGUACACACCAUCCACCCCAAAACAUUUUUAUGACUGAAAUUAAGAUUAUCAAUAAUAAAUAUUUUUUUCUUAGCAAUGAAUAAAUUCAAAUGAUUAUUGACCAUGGAAUUAUAAAAAUAAAUUGAUUUUGUGCAUAUUUUUUGUAAAGUCGAUGCUUUUACAAAUUCACUUGUCUACAUUGAAUUGAAUUGAAAUGUUUUUUACAUGAUGGUAGGAUGAGAAGAUUAUAUGAAUGUCGUGUUCAAUUUAUAAUUAUAAAUUAAUAGACAUGAGAUUUAAUCACUACCCAUAAGUUCUCUUCCAAAAAAAAUCCCAAGUCUAGCUUAAACUACUUCAAGUUGAUAGUAAUAAAGAACCUGAUAUGUGUGACGUUGCUUGGAAAUUUGCUGCCUAAAAUUUAUAUGUAUCGUGCUGCUUAGAAAGACCUUCAGAUGCAUCAAGUUGCUUGGAAAUUAUUGAGGUGCCUAACCUAAAGUUCUAUCCGGUCAAGGCAAGUUAAUUAAUGGUUGCCCGAGGUGCCACGUCGGGUCUGGAGAUAGAAGAACGUGAUACACGACGAGCCUUCAGGAUCCAAUAAUAUAAAGACAUUGAAUCUAGCUCAAUGGAAGUAGAUAAAUAUCAAUGUCAUUAGCAAAUGCUAGCCACAUAUCUCUAGAUACCACACCCAUCUAUACAGACUAAUCAUUUGCUUCUCAAUGGCUUCUCUUCUGCCUCAUCUGAGCACUUUUGUGGCUGGACUAGCAGCGAUUCUUGUCCUUUUCUUCUAUCUCUUUCGGUCGAGAGUUACUCUUAGCAAAACAAGGGCACCCCAAGCUGCAGGUGCAUGGCCCGUAAUUGGCCACUUACGAUUGUUAGGAGGACCGCAGCUUCCUCACGUAACAUUGGGAGCCUUGGCCGAAAAAUAUGGUCCUGUCUACUCCAUUCGGAUAGGGAUUCACCCAGGAUUGGUGGUGAGUAGUUGGGAGAUAGCCAAAGAGAUAUACACCAAUUACGAUGUGGCUGUCACCAAUCGUCCAAGAAUGAUAGCCGCAGAGCACUUGGGUUUCAACUAUGCCAUGGCUGGGGUCGCACCCUAUGGUUCAUACUGGCGUGAAAUGCGUAAAAUAAUCAACUUCGCUCUGCUCUCUAACCGUAGACUCGAAAUACUCAAGCAGGUUCGAGUAUCCGAAGCACAAGUCUCAGUAAAAGAGCUAUACAAAACUUGGUCCGAAAGAAACAAUGGCUCAGGCCAUGUUUUAAUUGAAAUGAAGCAAUGGUUUGGGGACUUGACCUUGAAUGUGAUAGUUAGGAUGGUUGCUGGCAAGAGGUACUUCGGUUCGGGUGCAAAGGGUGAUGACAAAGAGGCCAGACGGUGCCAAAGGGCGAUGAGGGAAUGGUUUCAUUUGUUAGGGGUAUUUGCCUUAAAGGAUGCUGUUCCUUUUCUUGGGUUUCUGGAUUUGGGUGGGCAUGAAAAGGCCAUGAAGGAGACAGCUAAGGAAUUGGAUAGUAUUGCUAGUGAAUGGUUGAAGGAGCAUAAGCAGAAGAGGGCCUCGGGUGAGGCCGAAGAUCAAGACUUCAUGGAUGUUUUGCUUUCUCUCCUCGAGGGUACAAACCUUGCAUCAGAAUUCGAUGUUGACACAAUUAACAAAGCCAACUGUUUGGUAUGCACUUUUCUUCCUUUCUUUUUUGUGUAAGAGCAUUCGGCCCCAAUACAUAGACCCAAAUUAAUUGCAACCUAUAAUCCUUUCCAUUCCCUACACAUACUCUCAAGAAAAAAC
This 11063-nucleotide long non-coding RNA is filed under the name Theobroma cacao (cacao). RNAcentral describes it as "long non-coding RNA (TCAC_LNC004687)". Lineage: Eukaryota; Viridiplantae; Streptophyta; Magnoliopsida; Malvales; Malvaceae. The record is from RNAcentral.